Molecule: ribosomal RNA, 479 nt
Filed under: uncultured bacterium
Lineage: Bacteria
Description: partial 16S ribosomal RNA
Rfam family: Bacterial small subunit ribosomal RNA
Source: RNAcentral
GAUGAACGCUAGCGGGAGGCCUAACACAUGCAAGCCGAGCGGUAGAGUUUCUUCGGAAACUUGAGAGCGGCGCACGGGUGCGUAACACGUGUGCAACCUACCUUUAUCUGGGGGAUAGCCUUUCGAAAGGAAGAUUAAUACCCCAUAAUAUAAUGAUUGGCAUCAAUUAUUAUUGAAAACUCCGGUGGAUAGAGAUGGGCACGCGCAAGAUUAGAUAGUUGGUGAGGUAACGGCUCACCAAGUCAAUGAUCUUUAGGGGUCCUGAGAGGGAGAUCCCCCACACUGGUACUGAGACCCGGACCAGACUCCUACGGGAGGCAGCAGUGAGGAAUAUUGGACAAUGGGUGAGAGCCUGAUCCAGCCAUCCCGCGUGAAGGAUGACGGUCCUAUGGAUUGUAAACUUCUUUUGUACAGGGAUAAACCUACCCUCGUGAGGGUAGCUGAAGGUACUGUACGAAUAAGCACCGGCUAACUCCGUG